AAAUGAAUAGACGGGGACCCGCACAAGCAGCGGAGCAUGUGGUUUAAUUCGAAGCAACGCGAAGAACCUUACCAGGGCUUGACAUGCCACUGACCGGUAUAGAGAUAUACCCUUACCUUUCGGGUACAGUGGACACAGGUGGUGCAUGGUUGUCGUCAGCUCGUGUCGUGAGAUGUUGGGUUAAGUCCCGCAACGAGCGCAACCCCUAUUUUUAGUUGCUACCAUUAAGUUGAGCACUCUAGAGAGACUGCCGAUGAUAAAUCGGAGGAAGGUGGGGAUGACGUCAAAUCAUCAUGCCCUUUAUGUCCUGGGCUACACACGUGCUACAAUGGUCGGUACAACGAGUAGCUACCUAGUGAUAGGAUGCAAAUCUCUUAAAGCCGAUCCCAGUUCGGAUUGUAGGCUGCAAUUCGCCUACAUGAAGUCGGAGUUGCUAGUAAUCGCGGAUCAGAAUGUCGCGGUGAAUGCGUUCCCGGGUCUUGUACACACCGCCCGU
This 496-nucleotide ribosomal RNA is filed under the name uncultured bacterium. RNAcentral describes it as "bacterial SSU rRNA". It matches the Rfam family "Bacterial small subunit ribosomal RNA", at positions 903 to 1397 of the family's 1533-position model. The record is from RNAcentral.